GAUGAACGCUGGCGGCGUGCCUAACACAUGCAAGUCGAGCGAUCUUCUUCGGAAGAGAGCGGCGGACGGGUGAGUAACGCGUGGGUAACCUGCCCUGUACACACGGAUAACAUACCGAAAGGUAUGCUAAUACGAGAUAAUAUGCUUUUGUCGCAUGGUAGAAGUAUCAAAGCUCCGGCGGUACAGGAUGGACCCGCGUCUGAUUAGCUAGUUGGUAAGGUAACGGCUUACCAAGGCGACGAUCAGUAGCCGACCUGAGAGGGUGAUCAGCCACAUUGGAACUGAGACACGGUCCAAACUCCUACGGGAGGCAGCAGUGGGGAAUAUUGCACAAUGGGCGAAAGCCUGAUGCAGCAACGCCGCGUGAGCGAUGAAGGCCUUCGGGUCGUAAAGCUCUGUCCUCAAGGAAGAUAAAGGCGGUACUUGAGGAGGAAGCCCCGGCUAACUACGUGCCAGCAGCCGCGGUAA
RNAcentral lists this ribosomal RNA (468 nucleotides) under uncultured bacterium. RNAcentral describes it as "partial 16S ribosomal RNA". It matches the Rfam family "Bacterial small subunit ribosomal RNA", at positions 28 to 523 of the family's 1533-position model. The record is from RNAcentral.